GCGGGUGUAGCUCAGUUGGUAGAGCAUCAGCCUUCCAAGCUGAAUGUCGCGAGUUCGAGUCUCGUCGCCCGCUCCA
RNAcentral lists this transfer RNA (76 nucleotides) under candidate division WS1 bacterium. RNAcentral describes it as "tRNA-Gly". It matches the Rfam family "tRNA". From Rfam's summary of the family: Transfer RNA (tRNA) molecules are approximately 80 nucleotides in length. Their secondary structure includes four short double-helical elements and three loops (D, anti-codon, and T loops). Further hydrogen bonds mediate the characteristic L-shaped molecular structure. tRNAs have two regions of fundamental functional importance: the anti-codon, which is responsible for specific mRNA codon recognition, and the 3' end, to which the tRNAs corresponding amino acid is attached (by aminoacyl-tRNA synthetases). tRNAs cope with the degeneracy of the genetic code in two manners: having more than one tRNA (with a specific anti-codon) for a particular amino acid; and 'wobble' base-pairing, i.e. permitting non-standard base-pairing at the 3rd anti-codon position. The record is from RNAcentral. Lineage: Bacteria; Bacillati.